This 497-nucleotide ribosomal RNA is filed under the name uncultured bacterium. Its description in RNAcentral is "partial 16S ribosomal RNA". It matches the Rfam family "Bacterial small subunit ribosomal RNA", at positions 28 to 507 of the family's 1533-position model. The record is from RNAcentral.
GAUGAACGCUGGCGGCGUGCCUAAUACAUGCAAGUCGAGCGAACGGACGAGAAGCUUGCUUGUCGGAUGUUAGCGGCGGACGGGAGAGUAACACGUGGAUAACCUACCUAUAAGACGGAGAUAACUUCGGGAAACCGGAGCUAAUCCCGGAUAAUAUUUUGAACCGCAUGGUUCAAAAGUGAAAGACGGUCUUGCUGUCACGUAUAGAGGGAUCCGCGCUGCAUUAGCUAGUUGGUAAGGUAACGGCUUACCAAGGCAACUAUGCAUAGGCGAACGGAGAGGGUGAUCGGCCACCCUAGAACUGAGACGGGGUCCAUGCUCCUACGGGACGCAGCAGUCGCGAAUCGGAGGCAAUGGGGGGAAGUAUGACGGAGUAACGGCGAGUGAGUUAUAGCGGUCCUCGGAUCGUAAUAAUGUGCUAUUAGGGAUGAACAUAUGUGUAAGUAACUGUGCACAUAUUGACGGUAACUAGUCAGAAAGCACCGGCUAACUACGUG